Molecule: ribosomal RNA, 434 nt
Filed under: uncultured Actinomycetales bacterium
Lineage: Bacteria; Bacillati; Actinomycetota; Actinomycetes; Actinomycetales
Description: bacterial SSU rRNA
Rfam family: Bacterial small subunit ribosomal RNA
Source: RNAcentral
GCUUAACACAUGCAAGUCGAACGGAAAGGCUCCAGCUUGCUGGGGUGCUCGAGUGGCGAACGGGUGAGUAACACGUAAGUGAUCUGCCCUGCACUGGGGGAUAAGCUUGGGAAACUGGGUCUAAUACCCUAUAGGACCGCAUCGUGGUUGGUGUGGUGGAAAGGUUUUUCUGGUGUGGGAUGAGCUUGCGGCCUAUCAGCUUGUUGGUGGGGUAAUGGCCUACCAAGGCGGCGACGGGUAGCCGGCCUGAGAGGGUGUGCGGCCACAUUGGGACUGAGAUACGGCCCAGACUCCUACGGGAGGCAGCAGUGGGGAAUUUUGCACAAUGGGCGGAAGCCUGAUGCAGCGACGCCGUGUGGGGGAUGAAGGCCUUCGGGUUGUAAACUCCUUUCGUCAGGGACGAAGUUUUUUUGACGGUACCUGGAUAAGAAGCA